Molecule: ribosomal RNA, 253 nt
Filed under: uncultured bacterium
Lineage: Bacteria
Description: partial 16S ribosomal RNA
Rfam family: Bacterial small subunit ribosomal RNA
Source: RNAcentral
UACGAAGGGGGCUAGCGUUGUUCGGAAUCACUGGGCGUAAAGCGCACGCAGGCGGACUGAUAAGUCAGGGGUGAAAUCCCGGGGCUCAACCUCGGAACUGCCUUUGAUACUGCCAGUCUAGAGUCCGGAAGAGGUGAGUGGAAUUCCUAGUGUAGAGGUGAAAUUCGUAGAUAUUAGGAAGAACACCAGUGGCGAAGGCGACUCACUGGUCCGGUACUGACGCUCAGGUGCGAAAGCGUGGGGAGCAAACAGG